GACGAACGCUGGCGGCGUGCUUAACACAUGCAAGUCGAGCGGUAAGGCCCUUUCGGGGGUACACGAGCGGCGAACGGGUGAGUAACACGUGGGUGACCUGCCCUUAGCUCUGGGAUAAGCCUGGGAAACUGGGUCUAAUACCGGAUAUGACUCCAUAACGCAUGUUGUGGGGUGGAAAGCCUUGUGCGGCUAGGGAUGGGCCCGCGGCUAUCAGCUUGUUGGUGGGGUGAUGGCCACCAAGGCGACGACGGGUAGCCGGCCUGAGAGGGCGACCGGCCACACUGGGGACUGAGACACGGCCCACGACUCCUACGGGAGGGCAGCAGUGGGGAAUCUUGCGGCAAUGGGCGAAAGCCUGACGCAGCGACGCCGCGUGGGGA
This 380-nucleotide ribosomal RNA is filed under the name uncultured bacterium. Its description in RNAcentral is "bacterial SSU rRNA". It matches the Rfam family "Bacterial small subunit ribosomal RNA", at positions 28 to 407 of the family's 1533-position model. The record is from RNAcentral.